RNAcentral lists this ribosomal RNA (529 nucleotides) under Pseudomonas sp. 4Sp1. RNAcentral describes it as "bacterial SSU rRNA". It matches the Rfam family "Bacterial small subunit ribosomal RNA", at positions 97 to 622 of the family's 1533-position model. The record is from RNAcentral. Lineage: Bacteria; Pseudomonadati; Pseudomonadota; Gammaproteobacteria; Pseudomonadales; Pseudomonadaceae.
GGCGGACGGGUGAGUAAUGCCUAGGAAUCUGCCUGGUAGUGGGGGAUAACGCUCGGAAACGGACGCUAAUACCGCAUACGUCCUACGGGAGAAAGCAGGGGACCUUCGGGCCUUGCGCUAUCAGAUGAGCCUAGGUCGGAUUAGCUAGUUGGUGGGGUAAUGGCUCACCAAGGCGACGAUCCGUAACUGGUCUGAGAGGAUGAUCAGUCACACUGGAACUGAGACACGGUCCAGACUCCUACGGGAGGCAGCAGUGGGGAAUAUUGGACAAUGGGCGAAAGCCUGAUCCAGCCAUGCCGCGUGUGUGAAGAAGGUCUUCGGAUUGUAAAGCACUUUAAGUUGGGAGGAAGGGCAGUUACCUAAUACGUAUCUGUUUUGACGUUACCGACAGAAUAAGCACCGGCUAACUCUGUGCCAGCAGCCGCGGUAAUACAGAGGGUGCAAGCGUUAAUCGGAAUUACUGGGCGUAAAGCGCGCGUAGGUGGUUUGUUAAGUUGAAUGUGAAAUCCCCGGGCUCAACCUGGGAACU